RNAcentral lists this long non-coding RNA (310 nucleotides) under Solanum tuberosum (potato). RNAcentral's name for it is "long non-coding RNA (STUB_LNC008865)". Lineage: Eukaryota; Viridiplantae; Streptophyta; Magnoliopsida; Solanales; Solanaceae. The record is from RNAcentral.
GAAAAAAAGAACAUACCACGUGAGCUUCCAAGUUCUACGCAGAAGAGGAAGUCGAGUAUGAGUAGGAGUCCAAGUUGAAAUAGGUUUUGGAUUCAAGUCCAAAUCUAUAAAUAGGGCAAUAUUUUCUUUUGAGAAACUUGCGCACUUAAACAGAGAGUUACAAGCAUAAUACAAUCAAAUAGAGGGAGUUCAUAUUUGAGUGAUUUCUGAUUCCGAAGUGUAGCCAACGCAAGAAAACAAGAAUUGAAGAACUGAUUCAUAGGCUUAUGUUUUGUAGUUCUUAAGUCAAGUUUGGUUGUAUUGAGUUUUU